CAGUAGCCACGGUAAAACGAAGGGGGCUAGCGUUGCUCGGAAUUACUGGGCGUAAAGGGAGCGUAGGCGGACAUUUAAGUCAGGGGUGAAAUCCCAGAGCUCAACUCUGGAACUGCCUUUGAUACUGGGUGUCUUGAGUGUGAUAGAGGUAUGUGGAACUCCGAGUGUAGAGGUGAAAUUCGUAGAUAUUCGGAAGAACACCAGUGGCGAAGGCGACAUACUGGAUCAUUACUGACGCUGAGGCUCGAAAGCGUGGGGAGCAAACAGGAUUAGAUACCCCCGUAGUCCCUGUCUCUUAUAC
This 301-nucleotide ribosomal RNA is filed under the name uncultured bacterium. Its description in RNAcentral is "partial 16S ribosomal RNA". It matches the Rfam family "Bacterial small subunit ribosomal RNA", at positions 509 to 807 of the family's 1533-position model. The record is from RNAcentral.